UUAAACUAGGGAUUAGAUACCCUAUUAUUAAAAUUUAAAUUGAAAAUACUAAAAUAGUAGAUAAUUAUUUAUUGAAACUUAAAUAAUUUGGCGGUAUUUUAGUUCAUUUAGAGGAAUCUGUUUAAUAAUUGAUAAUCCACGAAUAAAUUUACUUAAUUUUUUAUUUUGUAUAUCGUUGUUAAAAAAAUAUUUUUUAAUAAUAAUAAUAUUUAAAAAUUUUGAUUAAAAAUUAAAUCAGAUCAAGAUGCAGAUUAUAAUUAAGAAUAUAAUGGAUUACAAUAAAUUUAUUUAGAUGAAUAUUAAUUUGUAAAAGUUAAUUGAAGGUGGAUUUAAAUGUAA
RNAcentral lists this ribosomal RNA (339 nucleotides) under Spodoptera frugiperda (fall armyworm). RNAcentral describes it as "partial 12S ribosomal RNA". Lineage: Eukaryota; Metazoa; Arthropoda; Insecta; Lepidoptera; Noctuidae. The record is from RNAcentral.